This 439-nucleotide ribosomal RNA is filed under the name Salmonella enterica subsp. enterica. RNAcentral describes it as "partial 23S ribosomal RNA". It matches the Rfam family "Bacterial large subunit ribosomal RNA", at positions 161 to 638 of the family's 2925-position model. Lineage: Bacteria; Pseudomonadati; Pseudomonadota; Gammaproteobacteria; Enterobacterales; Enterobacteriaceae. The record is from RNAcentral.
AAUCCAUAGGUUAAUGAGGCGAACCGGGGGAACUGAAACAUCUAAGUACCCCGAGGAAAAGAAAUCAACCGAGAUUCCCCCAGUAGCGGCGAGCGAACGGGGAGGAGCCCAGAGCCUGAAUCAGCAUGUGUGUUAGUGGAAGCGUCUGGAAAGGCGCGCGAUACAGGGUGACAGCCCCGUACACAAAAGCGCAUGUGUUGUGAGCUCGAUGAGUAGGGCGGGACACGUGGUAUCCUGUCUGAAUAUGGGGGGACCAUCCUCCAAGGCUAAAUACUCCUGACUGACCGAUAGUGAACCAGUACCGUGAGGGAAAGGCGAAAAGAACCCCGGCGAGGGGAGUGAAAAAGAACCUGAAACCGUGUACGUACAAGCAGUGGGAGCACCCUUUUGGGUGUGACUGCGUACCUUUUGUAUAAUGGGUCAGCGACUUAUAUUCUGU